AGUUUAAACUGUCCUUUCACACCCUUUUUCUUAACGUUUUCUUAAUAGCACAACUGGCGCGUGCUUAGCCGCUGUGUCACGUUGGCUCUGCGGUCACUCUGGCCUCUCGCAGCCGUUCCGGCGUUACGUGUCGUUCUCAUGCGCAGUGCUUUGCUGGAUUGCUUGGAGCUUCCUGUCAGAGAUUUGAAAAUAUCGUAAUGAAUUAAAUUUUUUCUGUUUUGCGUUGAAACGCAGAAGGCUUUGUAACGUGCCUCCAUCUUGUGCAGAAAAAUGAAUGGCUUGUUGUUUUCUGGCCAGGGGCUGCUGGCCUGAACUAACAACUACUUUUCUGUCUCCCCAAAUAAAUGGGUUACUGACUUCUUUUGCCCUAAUGUUGCUUGUAGGCCACCCUUAGAAGCACCAAAUGGCAGCUCACACUUCUCCUUGAGUUUGUAGCUGUUUGGACCUCCUACUUUGCUUACGAUCUGCUUUGCUUUAGAACCAUUUUAUAAGACCUGGUUUGUUUUAUAACCAUUUUAUGCUUAUAAGUACAUAUAUUCUCAAUGGUGAGCCAGUGGUAGUUCAAAGCAGCGCCUCCAGGCGGUAAGUUGGGUAGUGCUGCCAAUUUAUGAUGGUUCUGGGUUGUUUCCAUCUUUUAUGCUUUCAUGUUACUACUGUCUUGAUGCCUGAUGUUUCUUUCAAUUUGGACAGGCAUGCCUUAAAAGCUGGGCUAUUGCUUGUACGUAUCGUUGGUCAUCAGUCUCUGUUGAAAAGAUGAGGCAAACUGUCAGAAGCUAAAUGAAUCAUUUAAUGCUGUGGACUAGAAACCAUUCUUGAUAGUGUAAACAGUGAGCACUUUUGUCAGCGAAAAUCGUGUAGAAUCAGCAGUGACAGAAGUAAUUGUGGAUAAUGACCUGUGGAUAAAGAAUAGUUCUUUAAAAGCUGUGUUCAGAGCAGAACAAACCAUCUCUGUUUACCUAAAGGUUUUUUCUGAGUCAUGUUUAAACUACUGAUCCAGAUACUGAUCCCCAUAAAACAUAUACUUUUAAAAUAUUGGAGGAGGCCCGUAUUGAAUUUGCUCUCUUUUAAACUGUUUCUCAUUCAUGAUUUUCUGGGAGUUUGAUCUGAUCCAAGUCCUGUGGUAUGGCACUAACUAGAGUUGUGGUGUGUCAAUUUCUGUAAACUCUUACGCAACACAAAAAGGGUAAAUUUAUUAUUUUUGUCACUUGUCAUUUGUCUAUUGACUAGCAUUAUGUCACGGGUAACUUGUGACACUCUUCUUGCCUGUUGGUGUUCCUGAAAUUAUAAUACAUCUAGAUCUGCCAUUCAAAUGGGGUAGAACAAAUCAGGCUUUAAGAUAAUAGAAAAUAUAACUUUUAAUUUUAACCUAAGCUUUUUUUUUUCUUCAUUUCAUUUCAUUUUAAAAUUUAGAGUGGCAAUUAAAGUUUAAUAAGAUAAUUGAAAGCAUAGCAUUCUUGCAGGGUGUUCCAUAGAAAGCAUUCUUGGUUUAUUAAGAUCAUACCAUAAAUAUCCUGUUAAUGGAAGUCUCCAUUCUUGGUUGCUGCAUGUACUGAUGCUUGCUUUCGUUUUUUUUGUUUAGUUUUGUUUAUUUUCUUCUUUUCCGAAUAGCUCUAUCAUAGAGACAAAAUUUAAGUCUCCUUGCACAGAUAUCCAUAGAAUAUCUCUGUCUUCUCUUUUUCUUCCAACAGUUUAUGUGCUUGCACCCUAAACUGGUCUGUCCAACCUUGUUUCAUUUGAACUUGUAUACUUACUCCACGCUAGGGCUUGUCAUGGUUCCUACAUUUUUAUUGAUUAGUUUAGCUGCUUUUGCUCUCUUACAGAUUUUUCCUAGGGUGGCAUUGGUUUGAUGUGGGUUUAAUCUCUCUCUCUCUCAGAGUAGAAAUAAGAUAUAAAAUGGCAGCAGAGUUGAUCAAAACCAUGAAACGGCUUCUGUAUGAGUUGUGAUUAAAUUAUGUUCAAGGACUAGAAGCUAGAACAUAUAGAUGUGCUUAUUUAUUUUAAUCCAGCGUGUAAUUAAACUAUGGAGUUUGUGAAUUUUUGCCCUCUACAAAUUCAUAUGAGACAAGAUCACAAGUUGGAUAAAUUAUGAUUGAUUGUUAUGGAUAGCUUUUUCUUUCAUGAGAAAAAAAUACAGCACAUAAUUAGUGCUCAGAGAAUUAAACUUUUCUGUGGAAACAGGAAGAGCAAAGUAUCAUGCUAUAUCAUGCCACUUCACUGUUAGCCGUUGUCAAAGGUGAGGUGCUGGUUUAGCCGGAUCUGUAGUCUGUUCCAGGAGGGUUAUUUUUAUGUUGUUUCUCCUUGAUUAACGGGAAUCAGUCGCAGAAUAUCUUGCAAGCUGCUGGCAAUCAUAGAUUGCUCAGCUCUGUAACAAACAUACUUGUUGGUUCCCUCUGCUUCAAGAAACCAAGGACUCUUAUACUGCUUUACAAUAUCCCACAAACAUUUCUUUUAGUCAGCUCAGCAGUAGCAGUAUUUCACACAUUCUUGGCAGGAAUAUUUGACUUUCGCAGCUGCUUACCCAGAGACAGGAAAGAUACCCGAAACCUUUGGGGGGAAAAAAAAAAAAAAGUCAAACCCUU
Non-coding RNA from Struthio camelus australis, 2579 nucleotides. Lineage: Eukaryota; Metazoa; Chordata; Aves; Struthioniformes; Struthionidae. The record is from RefSeq and is a predicted model, not a curated record.